GACGAACGCUGGCGGCGUGCUUAACACAUGCAAGUCGAACGGAAAGGCCCUGCUUUUGUGGGGUGCUCGAGUGGCGAACGGGUGAGUAACACGUGAGUAACCUGCCCUUGACUUUGGGAUAACUUCAGGAAACUGGGGCUAAUACCGGAUAGGAGCUCCUGCUGCAUGGUGGGGGUUGGAAAGUUUCGGCGGUUGGGGAUGGACUCGCGGCUUAUCAGCUUGUUGGUGGGGUAGUGGCUUACCAAGGCUUUGACGGGUAGCCGGCCUGAGAGGGUGACCGGACAGUUUGGGGAUGAGAGGCGGGCCCGCCCUCCUGGGGGGGAGGAAGUGGGGAAUAUUGAAAAAAGGGAGGAAGAGUGAUACAACAAGCACGAGGGGGGAAAGAAGGGCUUGGGGUUGUAAACCGCUUUCGCCUAGAAAGAAGGGGGGGGGAAGGGAAAUGGAAAAAAAAGCACGGGAAACCAA
This 465-nucleotide ribosomal RNA is filed under the name uncultured bacterium. Its description in RNAcentral is "partial 16S ribosomal RNA". It matches the Rfam family "Bacterial small subunit ribosomal RNA", at positions 28 to 504 of the family's 1533-position model. The record is from RNAcentral.